AGCGAACGCUAGCGGCGGGCCUAACACAUGCAAGUCGAGCGGAGGGGCAACCCUCAGCGGCGAACGGGUGAGUAACACGUAGGUAAUGUACCCUCUGGUGGGGAAUAACCGUGGGAAACCAUGGCUAAUACCGCAUAUGUCUUUCGAGAUGAAAGCAGCAAUGCGCCAGAGGAGCAGCCUGCGGCCGAUUAUUUAGUCCUAGUUGGUGAGGUAAUGGCUCACCAAGGGUACGAUCGGUAGCUGGUCUGAGAGGAUGAUCAGCCACACUGGAACUGAGACACGGUCCAGACUCCUACGGGAGGCAGCAGUGGGGAAUAUUGCGCAAUGGGCGAAAGCCUGACGCAGCCACUCCGCGUGAGUGAUGAAGGCC
RNAcentral lists this ribosomal RNA (370 nucleotides) under uncultured bacterium. RNAcentral's name for it is "bacterial SSU rRNA". It matches the Rfam family "Bacterial small subunit ribosomal RNA", at positions 29 to 416 of the family's 1533-position model. The record is from RNAcentral.